This 497-nucleotide ribosomal RNA is filed under the name uncultured bacterium. RNAcentral describes it as "partial 16S ribosomal RNA". It matches the Rfam family "Bacterial small subunit ribosomal RNA", at positions 28 to 507 of the family's 1533-position model. The record is from RNAcentral.
GAUGAACGCUGGCGGCGUGCCUAAUACAUGCAAGUCGAGCGAACAGACGAGGAGCUUGCUCCUCUGACGUUAGCGGCGGACGGGUGCGUAACACGUGGAUAACCUACCUAUAAGACUGGGAUAACUUCGGGAAACCGGAGCUAAUACCGGAUAAUAUAUUGAACCGCAUGGUUCAAUAGUGAAAGACGGUUUUGCUGUCACUUAUAGAUGGAUCCGCGCCGCAUUAGCUAGUUGGUAAGGUAACGGCUUACCAAGGCAACGAUGCGUAGCCGACCUGAGAGGGUGAUCGGCCACACUGGAACUGAGACACGGUCCAGACUCCUACGGGAGGCAGCAGUAGGGAAUCUUCCGCAAUGGGCGAAAGCCUGACGGAGCAACGCCACGUGAGUGAUGAAGGUCUUCGGAUCGUAAAACUCUGUUAUUAGGGAAGAACAAAUGUGUAAGUAACUAUGCACGUCUUGACGGUACCUAAUCAGAAAGCCACGGCUAACUACGUG